RNAcentral lists this ribosomal RNA (474 nucleotides) under uncultured bacterium. RNAcentral's name for it is "partial 16S ribosomal RNA". The stretch from base 13 to 343 matches the Rfam family "Bacterial small subunit ribosomal RNA", at positions 40 to 399 of the family's 1533-position model. The record is from RNAcentral.
AACGAACGCUGGCGGCAUGCCUAACACAUGCAAGUCGAACGAGACCUUCGGGUCUAGUGGCGCACGGGUGCGUAACGCGUGGGAACCUGCCCUUAGGUUCGGAAUAACUCCCCGAAAGGGGUGCUAAUACCGGAUAAUGUCUUCGGACCAAAGAUUUAUCGCCUUUGGAUGGGCCCGCGUUGGAUUAGCUAGUUGGUAGGGUAAAAGCCUACCAAGGCGACGAUCCAUAGCUGGUCUGAGAGGAUGAUCAGCCACACUGGGACUGAGACACGGCCCAGACGAGGGGGGGAGGGAGGGGGGGGGAAGAGGAGCAAACGGGACAGGGCCUGGGCCGGCAAGGGCGUGGGGGGGUGGAUGGACAGAGGUGUUUACCGCGUUUUGACCGUGGAUAAGAAUGCCGGUGCAGAGAGAAUAAUCCCCGGCACACGCCGGAACAUCAGCGGGCGAAAUAACAAGACGCCCACUAGUCUCCAC